CAGUCGCCGCGGUAAUACGAAGGGGGCUAGCGUUGCUCGGAAUUACUGGGCGUAAAGGGCGCGUAGGCGGACAGUUCAGUCGGGGGUGAAAGCCCGGGGCUCAACCUCGGAAUUGCCUUCUAUACUGGCUGUCUUGAGUAUGAGAGAGGUGUGUGGAACUCCGAGUGUAGAGGUGAAAUUCGUAGAUAUUCGGAAGAACACCAGUGGCGAAGGCGACACACUGGCUCAUUACUGACGCUGAGGCGCGAAAGCGUGGGGAGCAAACGGGAUUAGAUACCCGUGUAGUCCCUGUCUCUUAUAC
RNAcentral lists this ribosomal RNA (301 nucleotides) under uncultured bacterium. Its description in RNAcentral is "partial 16S ribosomal RNA". It matches the Rfam family "Bacterial small subunit ribosomal RNA", at positions 509 to 807 of the family's 1533-position model. The record is from RNAcentral.